Molecule: ribosomal RNA, 253 nt
Filed under: uncultured bacterium
Lineage: Bacteria
Description: partial 16S ribosomal RNA
Rfam family: Bacterial small subunit ribosomal RNA
Source: RNAcentral
GACGGAGGGGGCUAGCGUUGUUCGGAAUUACUGGGCGUAAAGGGUGCGUAGGUGGUUUAGUAAGUUGGAAGUGAAAGCCCGAGGCUCAACCUCGGAAUUGCUUUCAAAACUGCUGAUCUAGAGUGUAGUAGGGGAUGAUGGAAUUCCUGGUGUAGGGGUGAAAUCCUUAGAUAUCAGGAGGAACGCCGGUGGCGAAGGCGAUCAUCUGGGCUAUUACUGACACUGAGGCACGAAAGCAUGGGGAGCAAACAGG